Molecule: non-coding RNA, 85 nt
Filed under: uncultured Exiguobacterium sp.
Lineage: Bacteria; Bacillati; Bacillota; Bacilli; Caryophanales
Description: TPP riboswitch (THI element)
Rfam family: TPP riboswitch aptamer (THI element)
About the family: Vitamin B(1) in its active form thiamin pyrophosphate (TPP) is an essential coenzyme that is synthesised by coupling of pyrimidine and thiazole moieties in bacteria. The previously detected thiamin-regulatory element, thi box was extended, resulting in a new, highly conserved RNA secondary structure, the THI element, which is widely distributed in eubacteria and also occurs in some archaea.
Source: RNAcentral
CCACUAGGGGAGCCUUCGGGCUGAGACGGCAUAAGCCGGACCCUUCGAACCUGAUCUGGCUCAUACCAGCGUAGGGAAGUGGUGU